AGAGUUUGAUCCUGGCUCAGAACGAACGCUGGCGGCAGGCUUAACACAUGCAAGUCGAACGCUCGUAGCAAUACGGGAGUGGCAGACGGGUGAGUAACGCGUGGGAACAUACCCUCCGGUUCGGAAUAACUCAGGGAAACUUGAGCUAAUACCGGAUACGGCUUAGCGGCGAAAGAUUUAUCGCCGGAGGAUUGGCCCGCGUCCGAUUAGCUAGUUGGUGUGGUAACGGCGCACCAAGGCGACGAUCGGUAGCUGGUCUGAGAGGAUGAUCAGCCACAUUGGGACUGAGACACGGCCCAAACUCCUACGGGAGGCAGCAGUGGGGAAUAUUGGACAAUGGGCGCAAGCCUGAUCCAGCCAUGCCGCGUGAGUGAUGACGGCCUUAGGGUUGUAAAGCUCUUUCGCUCGGGACGAUAAUGACGGUACCGAGAUAAGAAGCCCCGGCUAACUUCGUGCCAGCAGCCGCGGUAAU
This 472-nucleotide ribosomal RNA is filed under the name uncultured bacterium. RNAcentral's name for it is "bacterial SSU rRNA". It matches the Rfam family "Bacterial small subunit ribosomal RNA", at positions 8 to 524 of the family's 1533-position model. The record is from RNAcentral.